Molecule: ribosomal RNA, 1343 nt
Filed under: uncultured bacterium
Lineage: Bacteria
Description: 16S ribosomal RNA
Rfam family: Bacterial small subunit ribosomal RNA
Source: RNAcentral
GACGAACGCUGGCGGCGUGCUUAACACAUGCAAGUCGAACGGAAAGGCCCUGCUUUUGUGGGGUGCUCGAGUGGCGAACGGGUGAGUAACACGUGAGUAACCUGCCCUUGACUUUGGGAUAACUUCAGGAAACUGGGGCUAAUACCGGAUAGGAGCUCCUGCUGCAUGGUGGGGGUUGGAAAGUUUCGGCGGUUGGGGAUGGACUCGCGGCUUAUCAGCUUGUUGGUGGGGUAGUGGCUUACCAAGGCUUUGACGGGUAGCCGGCCUGAGAGGGUGACCGGCCACAUUGGGACUGAGAUACGGCCCAGACUCCUACGGGAGGCAGCAGUGGGGAAUAUUGCACAAUGGGCGGAAGCCUGAUGCAGCAACGCCGCGUGCGGGAUGACGGCCUUCGGGUUGUAAACCGCUUUCGCCUGUGACGAAGCGUGAGUGACGGUAAUGGGUAAAGAAGCACCGGCUAACUACGUGCCAGCAGCCGCGGUGAUACGUAGGGUGCGAGCGUUGUCCGGAUUUAUUGGGCGUAAAGGGCUCGUAGGUGGUUGAUCGCGUCGGAAGUGUAAUCUUGGGGCUUAACCCUGAGCGUGCUUUCGAUACGGGUUGACUUGAGGAAGGUAGGGGAGAAUGGAAUUCCUGGUGGAGCGGUGGAAUGCGCAGAUAUCAGGAGGAACACCAGUGGCGAAGGCGGUUCUCUGGGCCUUUCCUGACGCUGAGGAGCGAAAGCGUGGGGAGCGAACAGGCUUAGAUACCCUGGUAGUCCACGCUGUAAACGGUGGGUACUAGGUGUGGGGUCCAUUCCACGGGUUCCGUGCCGUAGCUAACGCUUUAAGUACCCCGCCUGGGGAGUACGGCCGCAAGGCUAAAACUCAAAGGAAUUGACGGGGCCCCGCACAAGCGGCGGAGCAUGCGGAUUAAUUCGAUGCAACGCGUAGAACCUUACCUGGGUUUGACAUGGAUCGGGAGUGCUCAGAGAUGGGUGUGCCUCUUUUGGGGUCGGUUCACAGGUGGUGCAUGCCUGUCGUCAGCUCGUGUCGUGAGAUGUUGGGUUAAGUCCCGCAACGAGCGCAACCCUUGUUCACUGUUGCCAGCACGUUAUGGUGGGGACUCAGUGGAGACCGCCGGGGUCAACUCGGAGGAAGGUGGGGAUGACGUCAAGUCCUCAUGCCCCUUAUGUCCAGGGCUUCACGCAUGCUACAAUGGCUGGUACAGAGAGUGGCGAGCCUGUGAGGGUGAGCGAAUCUCGGAAAGCCGGUCUCAGCUCGGAUUGGGGUCUGCAACUCGACCUCAUGAAGUCGGAGUCGCUAGUAAUCGCAGAUCAGCAACGCUGCGGUGAAUACGUUCCCGGG